This 528-nucleotide ribosomal RNA is filed under the name uncultured bacterium. RNAcentral describes it as "bacterial SSU rRNA". It matches the Rfam family "Bacterial small subunit ribosomal RNA", at positions 17 to 518 of the family's 1533-position model. The record is from RNAcentral.
UCUUGGUUCAGGACGAACGCUGGCGGCGUGCCUAAUACAUGCAAGUCGAACGGUCUUUCUAUGGAAGCUUGCUUCCACUGAGAAGAUAGUGGCGAACGGGUGAGUAACACGUGGGUAACCUGCCCAUAAGAGGGGGAUAACAUCCGGAAACGGGUGCUAAUACCGCAUAGUUUUCUUGAUCGCAUGAUUGAGAAAGGAAAGACGGCCUUUGUGCUGUCGCUUAUGGAUGGACCCGCGGCGUAUUAGUUAGUUGGUGAGGUAACGGCUCACCAAGACGAUGAUACGUAGCCGACCUGAGAGGGUGAUCGGCCACAUUGGGACUGAGACACGGCCCAAACUCCUACGGGAGGCAGCAGUAGGGAAUCUUCCGCAAUGGACGAAAGUCUGACGGAGCAACGCCGCGUGAGUGAAGAAAGGUUUUCGGAUCGUAAAACUCUGUUGUCAGAGAAGAACAAGUUGGAGAGUAACUGCUCCAGCUUUGACGGUAUCUGACCAGAAAGCCACGGCUAACUACGUGCCAGCCGCAGC